AUUGAACGCUGGCGGCAGGCCUAACACAUGCAAGUCGGGCGAGCGGAGGACGGGUGAGUAAUGUAUGGGGAUCUGCCUGAUGGCGGGGGAUAAAUACUGGAAACGGUAGCUAAUACCGCAUACCAUCAGAUGAACCCAUAUGGGAUUAGCUAGUAGGUGUGGUAACGGCUUACCUAGGCGACGAUCCCUAGCUGGUCUGAGAGGAUGAUCAGCCACACUGGGACUGAAACACGGCCCAGACUCCUACGGUAGGCAGCCGUGGGGAAUAUUGCACAAUUGGCGCAAGCCUGAUGCAGCCAUGCCGCGUGUAUGAAGAAGGCCUUCGGGUUGUAAAGUACUUUCAGUCGGGUGGCGUUACCGACAGAAGAAGCGCCGGCUAACUACGUGCCAGCAGCCGCGGUAAUUC
RNAcentral lists this ribosomal RNA (406 nucleotides) under uncultured bacterium. RNAcentral's name for it is "partial 16S ribosomal RNA". It matches the Rfam family "Bacterial small subunit ribosomal RNA", at positions 30 to 526 of the family's 1533-position model. The record is from RNAcentral.